AGUUAGUGCUGGGAAACAGUGCUAAGAAGGAUACAGUGGCUAGAAGUCGUCCUGUCGUCCUGCCUCACAGUAACAUCGUUACCGAAUUCUCAGCAGGUGAACCAAAUGAAAUGGUCAACUGAAAGCCAACCAGGGGUCUUGUCCUGUCACUCUGGCUGGAAUACAAUGGCGUAAUCAUAGCUCACUGCGGCCUCCAUCUCCUGGGUUCAAGUGAUUCUCCUGCUUCAGCUUCCCAAGUAUCUGGGACUACAGCAAAAAAUCACCAUGUACCAACCUAUCCAAACUUAUCCAUGGAUGAAUCUAUCCAGAAGACGGGAGUUCCGAUGCUUGUCUUGCUCUGAAUGUCUGCUUGUCACCUGCUUAGGGUUAUCGACUGUGAUUCUGGGACUCAUUGUUGUUCUACAGGACCCCUCUGACUCUGUGGUUUUCUCUACUGGAUUAACAAUGAUAGCCAUAGGUGCUUUUUUUGUUGUCCUCACUGGAGUGACAGCCCUGUGUACGGUUACAGUCGACGAGAACUUGCAGAAAACCACGAGGCUAAGACUAGGAGUGAUACGAAAAAGCGGAAGUCUCCAAGGAACUACAGAGCCUUCCAUGACUCACUCAAUAAUCGCUAGCACCUCGCUGUAGUUGUACAUUGAACCCUGGCAUCUUCGUCUUUGGAACUAAGUCUCCUGAGCAUUGUUUUUAAAUAGAAAUAAAAUCUGGCUUUUAAAAAAA
This 720-nucleotide long non-coding RNA is filed under the name Homo sapiens (human). RNAcentral describes it as "non-protein coding BCAR4:21". The record is from RNAcentral. Lineage: Eukaryota; Metazoa; Chordata; Mammalia; Primates; Hominidae.